CACCCGUUUUUUGGCCGUUUUUCCGCUGGGGGGUUUUGGCACCACGACCUUCGGGCGCUUAUUUUUGGGCGCGGCUUUGCCCACGGCUUAUUUUUAGCACCCCGAGGCCCCUCGCAAAGUCCGCCCCAUUCCGAGUCCGGCGGACGAACUUCGCCCGCGCCCACCACCAAGGCUAUAGCCCACCCGUUUUUUGGCCAUUGUUCCGCUGGGGGGUUUUGGCACCACGACCUUCGGGCGCGGCUUUGCCCGCGGCUUAUUUUUGGCACCCCGAGGCCCCUCGCAAAGUCUCGCCCCAUUCCGAGUCCCGCGGACGAACUUCGCCCGCGCCCCCCACCAAGGCUAUAGCCCACCCGUUUUUUGGCUAUUUUUCCGUUGGGGGGUUUUCGCACCACGACCUUCGGGCGCUUAUUUUUGGGAGCGGCUUUGCCCGCGGCUUAUUUUUGGCACCCCGAGGCCCCUCGCAAAGUCCGCCCCAUCCCGAGUCCGGCGGACGAACUUCGCCCGCGGCCCUACCAAGGCUAUAGCCCACACGUUUUUUGGCCAUUUUUCCGCUGGGGGGUUUUGGCACCACGACCUUCGGGCGCGGCUUUGCCCGCGGAUUAUUUUUGGCACCCCGAGGCCCCUCGCAAAGUUUCGCCCCAUUCCAAGUCCGGUGGACGAACUUCGCACGCGCCCCCCACCAAGGCUAUAGCCCACCCGUUUUUUGGCUAUUUUUCCGUUGGGGGGUUUUCGCACCACGACCUUCGGGCGCUUAUUUUUGGGUGCGGCUUUGCCCGCGGCUUAUUUUUGGCACCCCGAGGCCCCUCGCAAAGUCUCGCCCCAUUCCGAGUCCGGCGGACGAACUUCGCCCGCGCCCCCCACCAAGGCUAUAGCCCACCCGUUUUUUGGCUAUUUUUCCGUUGGGGGAUUUUCGCACCACGACUUUCGGGCGCAUAUUUUUGGGCGCGGCUUUCCCCGCGGCUUAUUUUUGGCACCCCGAGGCCCCUCGCAAAGUCCGCCCCAUUCCGUGUCCGGCGGACGAACUUCGCCCGCGCCCCCUACCAAGGCUAUAGCCCACACGUUUUUUGGCCAUUGUUCCGCUGGGGGGUUUUGGCACCACGACCUUCGGGCGCGGCUUUGCCCGCGGAUUAUUUUUGGCACCCCGAGGGCCCUCGCAAAGUCUCGCCCCAUUCCAAGUCCGGCGGACGAACUUCGCCCGCGCCCCCCACCAAGGCUAUAGCCCACCCGUUUUUUGGCCAUUUUUCCGCCGGGGGGUUUUGGCACCACGACCUUCGGGCGCUUAUUUUUGGGCGCGGCUUUGCCCGCGGCUUAUUUUUGGCACCCCGAGGCCCCUCGCAAAGUCUCGCCCCAUUCCGAGUCCGGCAGACUAACUUCGCCCGCGCCCCCCACCAAGGCUAUAGCCCACCCGUUUUUUGGCCAUUUUUCCGCGGGGGGGUUUUGGCACCACGACCUUCGGGCGCUUAUUUUUGGACGCGGCUUUGCCCGCGGCUUAUUUUUGGCACCCCGAGGCCCCUCGCAAAGUCUCGCCCCUUUCCGAGUCCGGCGGACGAACUUCGCCCGCGCCCCCCACCAAGGCUAUAACCCACCCGUUUUUUGGCCAUUGUUCCGCUGGGGGGUUUUGGCACCACGACCUUCGGGCGCUUAUUUUUGGGCGCGGCUUUGCCCGCGGCUUAUUUUUGGCACCCCGAGGCCCCUCGCAAAGUCUCGCCCCAUUCCGAGUCCGGCGGGCGAACUUCGCCCGCGCCCCCCACCAAGGCUAUAGCCCGCCCGUUUUUUGGCCAUUGUUCCGCUGGGGGGUUUUGGCACCACGACCUUCGGGCGCGGCUUUGCCCGCGGAUUAUUUUUGGCAUCCCGAGGCCCCUCGCAAAGUCUCGCCCCAUUCCGAGUCCGGCGGACGAACUUCGCCCGCGCCCCCCACCAAGGCUAUAGCCCACCCGUUUUUUGGCCAUUGUUCCGCUGGGGGGUUUUGGCACCACGACCUUCAGGCGCUUAUUUUUGGGCACGGCUUUGCCGGCGGCUUAUUUUUGGCACCCCGAGGCCCCUCGCAAAAAGUCGCCCCAUUCCGAGUCUGGCGGACGAACUUCGCCCGCGCCCCCGACCAAGGCUAUAGCCCACCCGUUUUUUGGCCAUUGUUCUGCUGGGGGGUUUUGGCACCACGACCUUCGGGCGCUUAUUUUUGGCCGUGGCUUUGCCCGCGGCUUAUUUUUGGCACCCCGAGGCCCCUCGCAAAGUCUCGCCCCAUUCCGAGUCCGGCGGACGAACUUCGCCCGCGCCCCCCACCAAGGCUAUAGCCCACCCGUUUUUUGGCCAUUUUUCCGCUGGGGGGUUUUGGCACCACGACCUUCGGGCUCUUAUUUUUGGGCGCGGCUUUGCCCGCGGCUUAUUUUUGGCACCCCUAGGCCCCUCGCAAAGUCUCAUCCCAUUCCGAGUCCGGCGGACGAACUUCGCCCGCGCCCCCCACCAAGGCUAUAGCCCACCCGUUUUUUGGCCAUUUUUCCGCUGGGGGGUUUUGGCACCACGACCUUCGGGCGCGGCUUUGCCCGCGGAUUAUUUUUGGCAUCCCGAGGCCCCUCGCAAAGUCUCGCCCCAUUCCGAGUCCGGCGGACGAACUUCGCCCGCGCCCCCCACCAAGGCUAUAGCCCACCCGUUUUUUGGCCAUUGUUCCGCUGGGGGGUUUUGGCACCACGACCUUCGGGCGCUUAUUUUUGGGCACGGCUUUGCCCGUGGCUUAUUUUUGGCACCCCGAGGCCCCUCACAAAAACUCGCCCCAUUCCGAGUCCGGCGGACGAACUUCGCCCGCGCCCCCCACCAAGGCUAUAGCCCACCCUUUUUUGGCCAUUGUUCUGCUGGGGGGUUUUGGCACCACGACCUUCGGGCGCUUAUUUUUGGGCGCGGCUUUGCCCGUGGCUUGUUUUUGGCACCCCGAAGCCCCUCGCAAAGUCUCGACCCAUUCCGAGUCCGGCGGACGAACUUCGCCCGCGCCCCCCACCAAGGCUAUAGCCCACCCGUUUUUUUGCCAUUCUUCCGCUGGGGGGUUGUGGCACCACGACCUUCGGGCACUUAUUUUUGGGCGCGGCUUUGCCCGCGGCUUAUUUUUGGCACCCCGAGGCCCCUCGCAAAGUCUCGCCCCAUUCCGAGUCCGGCGGACGAACUUCGCCCGCGCCCCCCACCAAGGCUAUAGCCCACCCGUUUUUUGGCCAUUUUUCCGCUGGGGGGAUUUGGCACCACGACCUUCGGGCGCUUAUUUUUGGGCGCGGCUUUGCCCGCGGCUUAUUUUUGGCACCCCGAACCCCCUCGCAAUGUCUCGCCCCAUUCCGAGUCCGGCGGGCGAACUUCGCCCGCGCCCCCCACCAAGGCUAUAGCCCACCCGUUUUUUGGCCAUUGUUCCGCUGGGGGGUUUUGGUACCACGACCUUCGGACGCUUAUUUUUGGGCGCGGCUUUGCCCGCGGCUUAUUUUUGGCACCCCGAGGCCCCUCGCAAAGUUUCGCCCCAUUCCGAGUCCGGCGGACGAACUUCGCCCGUGCCCCCCACCAAGGCUAUAGCCCACCCGUUUUUUGGCCAUUGUUCCGCUGGGGGGUUUUGGCACCACGACCUUCAGGCGCGGCUUUGCCCGCGGCUUUUUUUUGGCACCCUGAGGCCCCUCGCAAAGUCUCGCCCCAUUCCGAGUCCGGCGGACGAACUUCGCCCGCGCCCUCCACCAAGGCUAUAGCCCACCCGUUUUUUGGUCAUUGUUCCGCUGGGGGGUUUUGGCACCACGACCUUCGGGCGCUUAUUUUUGGGCGCAGCUUUACCCGCGGCUUAUUUUUGGCACCCCGAGGCCCCUCGCAAAGGCUCGCCCCAUUCCGAGUCCGGCGGACGAACUUCUCCCGCGCCCCCCACCAAGGCUAUAGCCCACCCGUUUUUUGGCCAUUUUUCCGCUGGGGGGUUUUGGCACCACGAUCUUCGGGCGCUUAUUUUGGGGCGCGGCUUUGUCCGCGGCUUAUUUUUGGCACCCCGAGGCCCCUCGCAAAGUCUCGCCACAUUCCGAGUCCGGCGGACGAACUUCGCCCGCGCCCCCCACCAAGGCUAUAGCCCACCCGUUUUUUGGCUAUUUUUCCGCUGGGGUGUUUUGGCACCACGACCUUCGGGCGCUUAUUUUUGGGCGCGACUUUGCCCGCGGCUUAUUUUUGGCACCCCGAGGCCCCUUGCAAAGUCUCGCCCCAUUCCGAGUCCGGCGGACGAACUUCGCCCGCGCCCCCCACCAAGGCUAUAGCCCACCCGUUUUUUGGCCAUUGUUCCGCUGGGGGGUUUUGGCACCACGACCUUCGGGCGCGGCUUUGCCCGCGGCUUAUUUUUGGCACCCUGAGGCCCCUUGCAAAGUCUCGCCCCAUUCCGAGUCCGGCGGACGAAUUUCGCCCGCGCCCCCCACCAAGGCUAUAGCCCACCCGUUUUUUGGCCAUUGUUCCGCUGGGGGGUUUUGGCACCACGACCUUCGGGCGAUUAUUUUUGGGCGCAGAUUUGCCCGCGGCUUAUAUUUGGCACCCCGAGGCCCCUCGCAAAGUCUCGCCCCAUUCCGAGUCCGGCGGACGAACUUCGCCCGCGCCCCCCACCAAGGCUAUAGCCCACCCGUUUUUUGGCCAUUUUUCCGCUGGGGGGUUUUGGAACCACGACCUUCGGGCGCUUAUUUUUGGGCGCGGCUUUGCCCGCGGCUUAUUUUUGGCACCCCGAGGCCCCUCGCAAAGUCUCGCCCCAUUCCGAGUCCGGCGGACGAACUUCGCCCGCGCCCCCCACCAAGGCUAUAGCCCACCCGUUUUUUGGCCAUUUUUCCGCUGGGGGGUUUUGGCACCACGACCUUCGGGCGCUUAUUUUUGGGCGCGGCUUUGCUCGUGGCUUAUUUUUGGUACCCCGACGCCCCUCGCAAAGUCUCGCCCCAUUCCGAGUCCGGCGGACGAACUUCGCCCGCGCCCCCCACCAAGGCUAUAGCCCACCCGUUUUUUGGCCAUUUUUCCGCUGGGGGGUUUUGGCUCCACGACCUUCGGGCGCGGCUUUGUCCGCGGCUUAGUUUUGGCACCCCGAGGCCCCUCGCAAAGUCUCGCCCCAUUCCGAGUCCGGCGGACGAACUUCGCCCGCGCCCCCCACCAAGGCUAUAGCCCACCCGUUUUUUGGCCAUUGUUCCGCUGGGGGGUUUCGGCACCACGACCUUCGGGCGCUUAUUUUUGGGCUCGGCUUUGCCCGCGGCUUAUUUUUGGCACCCCGAGGCGCCUCGCAAAGUCUCGCCCCAUUCCAAGUCCGGCGGACGAACUUCGCCCGUGCCCCCCACCAAGGCUAUAGCCCACCCGUUUUUUGGCCAUUGUUCCGCUGGGGGGUUUUGGCACCACGACCUUCGGGCGCGGCUUUGCCCGCGGAUUAUUUUUGGCACCCCGAGGCCCCUCGCAAAGUCUCGCCCCAUUCCGAGUCCGGUGGACGAACUUCGCCCGCCCCCCCCACCAAGGCUAUAGCCCACCCGUUUUUUGGCCAUUCUUCCGCUGGGGGAUUUUGGCACCACGACCUUCGGGUGCUUAUUUUUGGGCGCGGCUUUGCCCGCGGCUUAUUUUUGGCACCCCGAGGCCCCUCGCAAAGUCUCGCCCCAUUCCGAGUCCGGCGGACGAACUUCGCCCGCGCCCCCCACCAAGGCUAUUGCCCACUCGUUUUUUGGCCAUUGUUCCGCUGGGGGGUUUUGGCACCACGACCUUCGGGUGCUUAUUUUUGGGCGCGGCUUUGCCCGCGGCUUAGUUUUGGCACCCCGAGGCCCCUCGAAAAGUCUCGCCCCAUUCCGAGUCCGGCGGACGAACUUCGCCCGUGCCCCCCACCAAGGCUAUAGCCCACCCGUUUUUUGGCCAUUUUUCCGCUGGGGGAUUUUGGCACCACGACCUUCGGCGCUUAUUUUUGGGCGCGGCUUUGCCCUCGGCUUAUUUUUGGCACCCCGAGGCCCCUCGCAAAGUCUCGCCCCAUUCCGAGUCCGGCGGACGAACUUCGCCCGCGCCCCCCACCAAGGCUAUUGCCCACUCGUUUUUUGGCCAUUGUUCCGCUGGGGGGUUUUGGCACCACGACCUUCGGGUGCUUAUUUUUGGGCGCGGCUUUGCCCGCGGCUUAGUUUUGGCACCCCGAGGCCCCUCGAAAAGUCUCGCCCCAUUCCGAGUCCGGCGGACGAACUUCGCCCGCGCCCCCCCCCAAGGCUAUAGCCCACCCGUUUUUUGGCCAUUUUUCCCCUGGGGGGUUUUGGCACCACGACCUUCGGCGCUUAUUUUUGGGCGCGGCUUUGCCCUCGGCUUAUUUUUGGCACCCCGAGGCCCCUCGCAAAGUCUCGCCCCAUUCCGAGUCCGGCGGACGAACUUCGCCCGCGCCCCCCACCAAGGCUAUUGCCCACCCGUUUUUUGGCCAUUGUUCCGCUGGGGGGUUUUGGCACCACGACCUUCGGGUGCUUAUUUUUGGGCGCGGCUUUGCCCGCGGCUUAGUUUUGGCACCCCGAGGCCCCUCGAAAAGUCUCGCCCCAUUCCGAGUCCGGCGGACGAACUUCGCCCGUGCCCCCCACCAAGGCUAUAGCCCACCCGUUUUUUGGCCAUUUUUCCGCUGGGGGGUUUUGGCACCACGACCUUCGGCGCUUAUUUUUGGGCGCGGCUUUGCCCUCGGCUUAUUUUUGGCACCCCGAGGCCCCUCGCAAAGUCUCGCCCCAUUCCGAGUCCGGCGGACGAACUUCGCCCGCGCCCCCCACCAAGGCUAUAGCCCACCCGUUUUUUGCCCAUUUUUCCGCUGGGGGGUUUUGGCACCACGACCUUCGGCGCUUAUUUUUGGGCGCGGCUUUGCCCUCGGCUUAUUUUUGGCACCCCGAGGCCCCUCGCAAAGUCUCGCCCCAUUCCGAGUCCGGCGGACGAACUUCGCCCACGCCCCCCACCAAGGCUAUAGCCCACCCGUUUUUUGGCCAUUUUUCCGCUGGGGGGUUUUGGCACCACAACCUUCGGGCGCUUAUUUUUGGGCGCGGCUUUGCCCGCGGCUUAUUUUUGGCACCCCGAGGCCCCUCGCAAAGUCUCGCCCCAUUCCGAGUCCGGCGGACGAACUUCGCCCGCGCCCCCCACCAAGGCUAUAGCCGACCCGUUUUUUGGCCAUUGUUCCGCUGGGGGGUUUUGGCACCACGACCUUCGGGCACUUAUUUUUGGGCGCGGCUUUGCCCGCGGCUUAUUUUUGGCACCCCGAGGCCCCUCGCAAAGUCUCGCCCCAUUCCGAGUCCGGCGGACGAACUUCGCCCGCGCCCCCCACCAAGGCUAUAGCCCACCCGUUUUUUGGCCAUUUUUCCGCUGGGGGGUUUUGGCACCACGACCUUCGGACGCUUAUUUUUGGGCGCGGCUUUGCCCGCGGCUUAUUUUUGGCACCCCGAGGCCCCUCGCAAAGUCUCGCCCCAUUUCGAGUCCGGCGGACGAACUUCGCCCACGCCCCCCACCAAGGCUAUAGCCCACCCGUUUUUUGGCCAUUUUUCCGCUGGGGGGUUUUGGCACCACGACCUUCGGGCGCAUAUUUUUGGGCGCGGCUUUGCCCGCGGCUUAUUUUUGGCACCCCGAGGCCCCUCGCAAAGUCCCGCCCCAUUCCGAGUCCGGCGGGACAAACUUCGCCCGCGCCCCCNNNNNNNNNNNNNNNNNNNNNNNNNNNNNNNNNNNNNNNNNNNNNNNNNNNNNNNNNNNNNNNNNNNNNNNNNNNNNNNNNNNNNNNNNNNNNNNNNNNNNNNNNNNNNNNNNNNNNNNNNNNNNNNNNNNNNNNNNNNNNNNNNNNNNNNNNNNNNNNNNNNNNNNUCGCCCGCGCCCACCACCAAGGCUAUAGCCCACCCGUUUUUUGGCCAUUGUUCCGCUCGGGGGUUUUGGCACCACGACCUUCGGGCGCUUAUUUUUGGGCGCGGCUUUGCCCGCGGCUUAUUUUUGGCACCCCGAGGCCCCUCGCAAAGUCUCGCCCCAUUCCGAGUCCAGCGGACGAACUUCGCCCGCGCCCCCCACCAAGGCUAUAGCCCACCCGUUUAUUGGCCAUUGUUCCGCUGGGGGGUUUUGGCACCACGACCUUCGGGCGCUUAUUUUUGGGCGCGGCUUUGCCCGCGGCUUAUUUUUGGCACCCCGAGGCCCCUCGCAAAGUCUGGCCCCAUUCCGAGUCCGGCGGACGAACUUCGCCCGCGCCCCCCACCAAGGCUAUAGCCCACCCGUUUUUUGGGCAUUUUUCCGCUGGGGGGUUUUGGCACCACGACCUUCGGACGCUUAUUUUUGGGCGCGGCUUUGCCCGCGGCUUAUUUUUGGCACCCCGAGGCCCCUCGGAAAGUCUCGCCCCGUUCCGAGUCCGGCGGACGAACUUCGCCCGCGCACCCCACCAAGGCUAUAGCCCACCAGUUUUUUGGCCAUUUUUCCGCUGGGGGGUUUUGGCACCACGACCUUCGGGCGCUUAUUUUUGGGCGCGGCUUUGCCCGCAGCUUAUUUUUGGCACCCCGAGGCCCCUCGCAAAGUCUCGCCCCAUUUCGAGUCCGGCGGACGAACUUCGCCCACGCCCCCCACCAAGGCUAUAGCCCACCCGUUUUUUGGCCAUUUUUCCGCUGGGGGGUUUUGGCACCACGACCUUCGGGCGCAUAUUUUUGGGCGCGGCUUUGCCCGCGGCUUAUUUUUGGCACCCCGAGGCCCCUCGCAAAGUCUCGCCCCAUUCCGAGUCCGGCGGACGAACUUCGCCCGCGCCCCCCACCAAGGCUAUAGCCGACCCGUUUUUUGGCCAUUGUUCCGCUGGGGGGUUUUAGCACCACGACCUUCGGGCACUUAUUUUUGGGCGCGGCUUUGCCCGCGGCUUAUUUUUGGCACCCCGAGGCCCCUCGCAAAGUCUCGCCCCAUUCCGAGUCCGGCGGACGAACUUCGCCCGCGCCCCCCACCAAGGCUAUAGCCCACCCGUUUUUUGGCCAUUUUUCCGCUGGGGGGUUUUGGCACCACGACCUUCGGGCGCUUAUUUUUGGACGCUGCUGUGCCCGCGACUUCCCGCGGGCACCCCGAGGCCCCUCGCAAAGUCUCGCCCCAUUCCGAGUCUGGCGGACGAACUUCGCCCGCGCCCCCUCCAAGGCUAUAGCCCACCCGUUUUUUGGCCAUUUUUCCGCUGGGGGGUUUUGGUUACACGACCUUCGGGCGCUUAUUUUUGGGCGCGGCUAUGCCCGCGGCUUAUUUUUGGCACCCCGAGGCCCCUCGCAAAGUCUCGCCCCAUUCCGAGUCUGGCGGACGAACUUCGCCCGCGCCCCCUCCAAGGCUAUAGCCCACCCGUUUUUUGGCCAUUUUUCCGCUGGGGGGUUUUGGUUACAUGACCUUCGGGCGCUUAUUUUUGGGCGCGGCUUUGCCCGUGGCUUAUUUUUGGCACCCCGAGGCCCCUCGCAAAGUCUCGCCCCAUUCCGAGUCCGGCGGACGAACUUCGCCCGCGCCCCCCACCAAGGCUAUAGCCCACCCGUUUUUGGUCCAUUUUUCCGCUGGGGGGUUUUGGCACCCUGACCUUCUGGCGCUUAUUUUUGGACGCGGCUUUGCCACGGCUUAUUUUUGGCACCCCGAGGCCCCUCGCAAAGUCUCGCCCCAUUCCGAGUCCAGGGGACGAACAUCGCCCGCGCCCCCCACCAAGGCUAUAGCCCACCCGUUUUUUGGCCUUUUUUCCGCUGGGGGGUUUUGGCACCACGACCUUCGGGCGAUUAUUUUUGGGUGCGGCUUUGCCUGUGGCUUAUUUUUGGUACCCCGAGGCUCCUCGCAAAGUCUCGCCCCAUUCCGAGUCCGGCGGACGAACUUCGCCCGCUCCCCCCAGCAAGGCUAUAGCCCACCCGUUUUUUGGCCUUUUUUCCGCUGGGGGGUUUUGGCACCACGACCUUCGGGCGCUUAUUUUUGAGCGCGGCUUUGCCCGCGGCUUAUUUUUGGCACCCCGAGGCCCCUCGCAAAGUCUCGCAAAGUCUCGCCCCAUUCAGCAGGGGGGUCUUGGGACCCCGACCUUCGGGGGCUGAUUUUUGGGCGUGGCUGUGCCCGUGGCCUGUUUUUGGCACACGGAGGCCGCCCGCCAAGUAUGGUGCCAUUCCGAGUCCCGCGGACGAACUUCGCCCACGCCCCCUACCAAGGCUAUAGCCCACCCGUUUUUUGGCCAUUUUUCCGCUGAGGGGUCUUGGGACCCCGACCUUCGGGGGCUGAUUUUUGGGCGCGGCUGUGCCCGUGGCCUAUUUUUUGCACACGGAGGCCGCCCACCAAGUCUGGUGCCAUUCCGAGUCCGGCCGACGAACUUCGCCCACGCCCCCCACCAAGGCUAUAGCCCACCUGUUUUUUGGCCAUUUUUCCACUGGGGGGUCUUGGGGCCACGACCUUCGGGGGCUGAUUUUUGGGCGCGGCUGUGCACAUGGCCUAUUUUUGGCACACGGAGGCCGCCCGCCAAGUCUGGGGCCAUUCCGAGUCCGGCGGACGAACUUCGCCCACGCCCCCCACCAAGGCUAUAGCCCACCAGUUUUUUGGCCAUUUUUCCGCUGGGGGGUCUUGGGACCCCGACCUUCGGGGGCUGAUUUUUGCGCGCGGCUGUGCCCGUGGCCUAUUUUUAGCACACGGAGGCCGCCCGCCAAGUCUGGCGCCAUCGCGAGUCCCGCGGACGAAUUUCGCCCACGCCCCCUACCAAGGCUAUAGCCCACCCGUUUUUUGGCCAUUUUUCCGCUGAGGGGUCUUGGGACCCCGACCUUCGGGGUCUGAUUUUUGGGCGCGGCUGUGCCCGUGGCCUAUUUUUGGCACACGGAGGCCGCCGCCAAGUCUGGUGCCAUUCCGAGUCCGGCCGACGAACUUCGCCCACGCCCCCAACCAAGGCUAUAGCCCACCCAUUUUUUGGCCGUUUUUCCGCUGGGGGGUCUUGGGGCCCCGACUUUCGGGGGCUGAUUUUUGGGCGCGGCUGUGCCCGUGGCCUAUUUUUGGUACAUGGAGGCCGCCCGCCAAGUCUGGGGCCAUUCCGAGUCCGGCGGACGAACUUCGCCCACGCCCCCCACCAAGGCUAUAGCCCACCCGUUUUUUGGCCAUUUUUCCGCUGGGGGGUCUUGGGACCCCGACCUUCGGGGGCUGAUUAUUGGGCGCGGCUGUGCCCAUGGCCUAUUUAUGGCACAGGGAGGCCGCCCGCCAAGUCUGGGGCCAUUCCGAGUCCCGCGGACGAACUUCGCCAACGACCCCCACCAAGGCUAUAGCCCACCCGUUUUUUGGCCAUUUUUCCGCUGGGGGGUCUUGGGACCCCGACCUUCGGGGGCUGAUUUUUGGGCGCGGCUGUGCCCGUGGCCUAUUUUUGGCACAGGGAGGCCGCCCGCCAAGUCUGGGGCCAUUCCUAGUCCGGACGACGAAUUUCGCCCGC
Molecule: long non-coding RNA, 11362 nt
Filed under: Citrus x clementina
Lineage: Eukaryota; Viridiplantae; Streptophyta; Magnoliopsida; Sapindales; Rutaceae
Description: Citrus clementina (C. clementina) long non-coding RNA (CCLE_LNC004786)
Source: RNAcentral